RNAcentral lists this ribosomal RNA (528 nucleotides) under uncultured bacterium. RNAcentral's name for it is "bacterial SSU rRNA". It matches the Rfam family "Bacterial small subunit ribosomal RNA", at positions 17 to 518 of the family's 1533-position model. The record is from RNAcentral.
AUCUGGUUCAGGACGAACGCUGGCGGCGUGCCUAAUACAUGCAAGUCGAACGGCUUUUCUAUGGAAGCUUGCUUCCACUGAGAAGAUAGUGGCGAACGGGUGAGUAACACGUGGGUAACCUGCCCAUAAGAGGGGGAUAACAUCCGGAAACGGGUGCUAAUACCGCAUAGUUUUCUUGAUCGCAUGAUCGGGAAAGGAAAGACGGCCUUUGUGCUGUCGCUUAUGGAUGGACCCGCGGCGUAUUAGUUAGUUGGUGAGGUAACGGCUCACCAAGACGAUGAUACGUAGCCGACCUGAGAGGGUGAUCGGCCACAUUGGGACUGAGACACGGCCCAAACUCCUACGGGAGGCAGCAGUAGGGAAUCUUCCGCAAUGGACGAAAGUCUGACGGAGCAACGCCGCGUGAGUGAAAGAAGGUUUUCGGAUCGUAAAACUCUGUUGUCAGAGAAGAACAAGUUGGAGAGUAACUGCUCCAGCCUUGACGGUAUCUGACCAGAAAGCCACGGCUAACUACGUGCCAGCCGCGGC